RNAcentral lists this ribosomal RNA (254 nucleotides) under uncultured bacterium. RNAcentral describes it as "partial 16S ribosomal RNA". It matches the Rfam family "Bacterial small subunit ribosomal RNA", at positions 524 to 776 of the family's 1533-position model. The record is from RNAcentral.
UACAGAGGUGGCGAGCGUUAUUCGGAAUUAUUGGGCGUAAAGGGCGCGUAGGCGGCUUGACAAGUCCCGGGUGAAAUCCCUCGGCUCAACCGAGGAACUGCCUUGGAAGCUGUCUGGCUUGAGGCCGGGAGAGGGUAGUGGAAUUCCCAGUGUAGCGGUGAAAUGCGUAGAUACUGGGAGGAACACCGGGUGGCGAAGGCGGCUACCUGGACCGGUUCUGACGCUGAGGCGCGAAAGCGUGGGUAGCAAACAGG